CAAUAGCGUAUAUUAAAGUUGUUGCAGUUAAAAAGCUCGUAGUUGGAUUUGUGGUUCGUCCCGCCGGCUGGGUCAUUGACUUUUGCUGUGCUGGUCGUCCAUCCUUGGGUGGAAUCUGUGUGGCAUUAGGUUGUCGCGCAGGGGAUGCCCAUCGUUUACUGUGAAAAAAUUAGAGUGUUCAAAGCAGGCUUAUGCCGUUGAAUAUAUUAGCAUGGAAUAAUGAUAUAGGACCUUGGUACUAUUUUGUUGGUUUGCGCAUCGAGGUAAUGAUUAAUAGGGACAGUUGGGGGUAUUCGUAUUCCAUUGUAAGAGGUGAAAUUCUUGGAUUUUUGGAAGACGAACUACUGCGAAAGCAUUUACCAAGGAUGUUUUCAUUAA
RNAcentral lists this ribosomal RNA (378 nucleotides) under uncultured eukaryote. RNAcentral's name for it is "partial 18S ribosomal RNA". It matches the Rfam family "Eukaryotic small subunit ribosomal RNA", at positions 592 to 976 of the family's 1831-position model. The record is from RNAcentral.